RNAcentral lists this unclassified non-coding RNA (2443 nucleotides) under Melitaea cinxia (Glanville fritillary). RNAcentral describes it as "misc RNA ENSMCXG00005017032.1". The record is from RNAcentral. Lineage: Eukaryota; Metazoa; Arthropoda; Insecta; Lepidoptera; Nymphalidae.
GCAUCCCUUUUGAAAUUUUUAUCAUCGUUUCUAGACAGUAACAGAAAGGUUUCUGCGAAGUUACAACAAAAUGUAGUGUCCACGAGCAGCGAUAUAGACAUUUGAAGAAGUAGUAUAUAGGCAUUGUCUUAGAGAAAAAAAAAUAAAAAAAAAAAUAGAAGGGAUUGAGUAUCCCUUUUGAAAUUUUUAUCAUCGUUUCUAGAUAGGAAUAGAAAGGUUUCUACGAAGUUACAACAAAAUGUAGUGUCCACGAGCAGAGAUAUAGACAUUUAAAGAAGUAGUAUAUAGGCAUUGUCUUAGCGAAAAAAAAAAAUAAAAAAAAUAGAAGGGAUUGAGUGAAAUUUUUAGCAUCGUUUCUUCAUCUAUAGACAUUUGAAGAAGUAGUAUAUAGGCAUUGUCUUAGAAAAAAAAAUAAAAAAAAAAUAGAAGGGAUUGAGUAUCCCUUUUGAAAUUUUUAUCAUCAUUUCUAGACAGUAAUAGAAAGGUUUCUACGAAGUAACAACAAAAUGUAGUGUCCACGAGCAGAGAUAUAGACAUUUGAAGAAGUAGUAUAUAGGCAUUGUCUUAGAGAAAAAAAAAAAUAUAAAAAAAAUAGAAGGGAUUGAGUAUCCCUUUUGAAAUUUUUAUCAUCGUUUCUAGACAGUAAUAGAAAGGUUUCUACGAAGUUACAACAAAAUGUAGUGUCCACGAGCAGAGAUAUAGACAUUUGAAGAAAUGGUACAUAGGCGUUGUCUUAGAGAAAAAAAAAUUAAAAAAAAUAGAAGGGGUUGAGUAUCCCUUUUGAAAUUUUUAUCAUCGUUUCUUGAUAGUAAUAUAAAGGUUUCUACGAAGUUACAGCAAAAUGUAGUGUCCACGAGCAGAGAUAUAGACAUUUGAAGAAGUAGUAUAUAGGCAUUGUCUUAGAGAAAAGAAAAUAAAAAAAAAUAGAAGGGAUUGAGUAUACCUUUUGAAAUUUUUAUCAUCGUUUCUAGACAGUAAUAGAAAGGUUUCUACGAAGUUACAACAAAAUGUAGUGUCCACGAGCAGAGAUAUAGACAUUUAAAGAAGUAGUAUAUAGGCAUUGUCUUAGCGAAAAAAAAAAAAAAAAAAAAAAAAUAGAAGGGAUUGAGUAUCCCUUUUGAAAUUUUUAGCAUCGUUUCUAGACAGUAAUAGAAAGGUUUCUACGAAGUUACAACAAAAUGUAGUGUCCACGAGCAGAGAUAUAGACAUUUGAAGAAAUGGUACAUAGGCGUUGUCUUAGAGAAAAAAAAAUAUAAAAAAAAUAGAAGGGAUUGAGUAUCCCUUUUGAAAUUUUUAUCAUCGUUUCUAGACAGGAAUAGAAAGGUUUCUACGAAGUUACAACAAAAUGUAGUGUCCACGAGCAGAGAUAUAGACAUUUAAAGAAGUAGUAUAUAGGCAAUGUCUUAGCGAAAAAAAAAAAAAAAAAAAAUAGAAGGGAUUGAGUAUCCCUUUUGAAAUUUUUAUCAUCGUUUCUAGACAGUAAUAGAAAGGUUUCUGCGAAGUUACAACAAAAUGUAGUGUCCACGAGCAGAGAUAUAGACAUUUGAAGAAGUAGUAUAUAGGCAUUAUCUUAGAGAAAAAAAAAAUAAAAAAAAAUAGAAGGGAUUGAGUAUCCCUUUUGAAAUUUUUAUCAUCAUUUCUAGACAGUAAUAGAAAGGUUUCUACGAAGUUACAACAAAAUGUAGUGUUCACGAGCAGAGAUAUAGACAUUUGAAGAAGUAGUAUAUAGGCAUUGUCUUAGAGAAAAAAAAUAAAAAAAAAAAUAGAAGGGAUUGAGUAUCCCUUUUGAAAUUUUUAUCAUCGUUUCUACAUAGUAAUAUAAAGGUUUCUACGAAGUUACAACAAAAUGUAGUGUCCACGAGCAGAGAUAUAGACAUUUGAAGAAGUAGUAUAUAGGCAUUGUCUUAGCGAAAAAAAAAUAAAAAAAAAUAGAAGGGAUUGAGUAUCCCUUUUGAAAUUUUUAUCAUCGUUUCUAGGCAGUAAUAGAAAGGUUUCUACGAAGUUACAACAAAAUGUAGUGUCCACGAGCAGAGAUAUAGACAUUUGAAGAAGUAGUAUAUAGGCAUUGUCUUAGAGAAAAAAAAAUAAAAAAAAAAUAGAAGGGAUUGAGUAUCCCUUUUGAAAUUUUUAUCAUCGUUUCUAGAUAGUAAUAUAAAGGUUUCUACGAAGGUACAACAAAAUGUAGUGUCCACGAGCAGAGAUAUAGACAUUUGAAGAAAUGGUACAUAGGCGUUGUCUUAGAGAAAAAAAUAAAAUAAAAAAUAAAUAGAAGGGGUUGAGUAUCCGCUUUGAAAAUUGUCUUAUCUUUUCUUGAUAGUAAAGAAAAGGUUUCUGCAAAGUUACAACAAAAUGCAGUGUCUAUGAGCCGAGAUAUGAUAACUUUAAUAAAUUUUAUUUAAUCGUCUGCUUAGAAAAAAUCCCAAAAUAAAAAAAAAUUAAAGUA